AGAGUUUGAUCCUGGCUCAGAUUGAACGCUGGCGGCAUGCCUUACACAUGCAAGUCGAACGGUAACAGGGAGCUUGCUCCGCUGACGAGUGGCGAACGGGUGAGUAAUAUAUCGGAACGUACCUUUGAGUGGGGGAUAACUAGUCGAAAGACUAGCUAAUACCGCAUACGAUCUACGGAUGAAAGUGGGGGCUCGCAAGACCUCAUGCUCAUAGAGCGGCCGAUAUCUGAUUAGCUAGUUGGUGAGGUAAAGGCUCACCAAGGCAUCGAUCAGUAGCUGGUCUGAGAGGACGACCAGCCACACUGGGACUGAGACACGGCCCAGACUCCUACGGGAGGCAGCAGUGGGGAAUUUUGGACAAUGGGGGCAACCCUGAUCCAGCAAUGCCGCGUGAGUGAAGAAGGCCUUCGGGUUGUAAAGCUCUUUUGUCAGGGAAG
This 437-nucleotide ribosomal RNA is filed under the name uncultured bacterium. RNAcentral's name for it is "bacterial SSU rRNA". It matches the Rfam family "Bacterial small subunit ribosomal RNA", at positions 8 to 447 of the family's 1533-position model. The record is from RNAcentral.